The submitters of this non-coding RNA (60 nucleotides) gave its source as unclassified sequences. The record is from Rfam.
GGGGACCUUCGGGGCCCUUAACCCGGGUCGCAAGGCCCGAUAGCUAACGGAAGACAGAGA